Long non-coding RNA from Hevea brasiliensis (rubber tree), 1292 nucleotides. RefSeq lists it as uncharacterized. NCBI's taxonomy places the organism in Eukaryota, Viridiplantae, Streptophyta, Magnoliopsida, Malpighiales, Euphorbiaceae. The transcript is spliced from 5 exons. The record is from RefSeq and is a predicted model, not a curated record.
AACCCUGAUUUAGUUGCUCGCGGACUACAUGGCAGUCAAUUUCAAAGUGCUUCGUUCUCUCAUGGAAGACUGGAUUUGCCACAAUGUGCUCUGCUGCCUUGUUGUCACAGUGAAGGGCGAUGGGAAAAGAAAGUUGUAUGCCAAAAUCAUUGAGCAGGAAACUAAAGAGAGCCCUAAGAAGAUGCAAAAGCCAGUAAUAGAUUUUCUGCUCAUAGGGCAAGAUGCCCAAUCUGCAUCACAGAAUGCUCGGAGCUUCAAAUCAUUGUCUUGUUUGAAGAAUAAGCUCUUGGAAGGGCAACCUUUCAAAUAUUUGAGAACUUGGAUAGCUGCAUCCUAGUGCGAUUGACGUGCAGCUUGCAUAAACUGACUCAACUUUUGAGUUACGUGUGAAAGAUCUGGCCUGGACUAGAAGACAUAUAAUCCUAUUCUUUAUAAGCCCUUGAGAGUAGAAUGAUAAAAGGAAAGGCGUGAAUCAGGAGAAUAAUGAAGGGGUCCAAAAAAGGAAAACCUCAAGUUGAGCAGAUCUCAGGAAACAAAGUUGAAGAAACUGGAGCAUGAAAAGGAGAAAGCAUUUUUACUGGCAAAAAGCACUGAGAAGUCACUGCCUUUUAGCCCCCAGAUGCUUAACUUUUAUUUUUUCUGUUAACUUUUCAGGAAGCUUUUACAAAGUAUGAAACCACUAUAAAAUUAUUUUUUUAGGAAAUACAAGAUACCAGAGGAUGCUUUUUCACUUCUGCGAUCAUCAAGAAAUAUAAGUCGACUUUGUAUCAUUUGAUCAACUUUUUUUUUUUUUUUUUUAAAGAUUACAAUGAAAUUCUAUUAUAUUUUAUAUACAUUACUCUUUUUUUUUUUUUAUCUCCAAGUAGGUUGAAACUAUGAGAGAAAAACGCAAAAUGACAGUACAAUUUUCUAAGGUAGGUCUCGAAGUUUCACAUAGUGAUCAAUGUUUCAAACUGCGUACUGAUGGAACUUCUUGCGAGCUGAAGCUGAAUCAAAAAGCAUUAACUAGCAAAGUAUGAACAUGAAUGACCAUUUACUGCCAAUGGUAACAGAAACAGAAGUUGAUUCAUCGAUCUGAUUCAUUGGCUAUCUAUUAAAAUUAUAUUGAUAGAUUAGUUAAUAGAAAUUUUAAUGAGAAAACAAUUAAAAAAAUUUAUAUUGUUAAAGUUAAAUUUCAGGCGCAAUUAGGCAUAGAAAAUGAAGACAUUUUUAUUAAAUAGAAAAUAUAUGUACUUUUAUUAAGUAGAAAAUGUCUAAAUUUACUUUUUAUAAAAUUAUUAUAAUUUUUCAUA